This 307-nucleotide long non-coding RNA is filed under the name Bos indicus x Bos taurus (hybrid cattle). RNAcentral's name for it is "lncRNA (ENSBIXG00000000959.1)". Lineage: Eukaryota; Metazoa; Chordata; Mammalia; Artiodactyla; Bovidae. The record is from RNAcentral.
AAGUUGUUGUUUAAGACAAAGACUCUGCUCAAGCAUGGUGGAUCUGUUAUGACAGUCAAACUUAAUGAAGUCCUUCGGCCUCAUCACUUAUUAUGUUCAGCAUCCCUCAGGAUCUUUCCAGCUUGUAUCCAAUCCACAUCAAGUGCUUGCACGACCACUGGACUGGAUGGAGAAUUGUGAACUGGCUCUUAAACGCUUCUGCCUGGAAGUGACACCUGUCAUUUCUGAUCACAUUUCAAUGGCAUGUGUCCAUGCAUAUUUUCAAAGAGAAAAGUGCCCUGAAGGAAAAGAGAACCAGAAAUCUUAA